GGAAAAUUCAAGUCCUAUGAUUUAUAUGAUUAGAACUCUGAUAAAAGCAUGGGUCACGACAACGUGUUUGGAGUUUGCAUCAUUGUUGGAUAAUCGUCCGUGUUAGUCCUGCAGCCACUACUGUGAAGCAUCUGCAAAGGGCCUUGCUGAGGAAGCUGUUCAUACCAGGAAGAGCCUCCUCACACCAUUCAAGUUGAAGUAAGAAACUCCAGCUGCACCGGCCUUGUCGAAUCCUCAAAUUUGUUUGCUCAGGUCCGAGACCACCAUUAUUACUAAGAAAGAGGAAACUUCAGUAAAUUAAAUGAUUAACUUAAUAAGCUAAGAAAGAAAAUUAAGUUGACAACUUCUUUGUGUCCGGGAGGCUGCUCCCAGCGAUGCUGCAAUCGUCACCAUGCC
This is a long non-coding RNA of Tupaia belangeri chinensis (Chinese tree shrew), 396 nucleotides long. RefSeq lists it as uncharacterized. NCBI's taxonomy places the organism in Eukaryota, Metazoa, Chordata, Mammalia, Scandentia, Tupaiidae. The record is from RefSeq and is a predicted model, not a curated record. The transcript has 4 exons.